UGGGAAUUUGGACAAUGGGCAACCGUGAUCAGCAAUGCCGCGUGUGUGAAGAAGGCCUUCGGGUUGUAAAGCACUUUUGUCCGGAAAGAAAACGUCGUGGUUAAUACCCGUGGCGGCUGACGGUACCGGAAGAAUAAGCACCGGCUAACUACGUGCCAGCAGCCGCGGUAAUACGUAGGGUGCAAGCGUUAAUCGGAAUUACUGGGCGUAAAGCGUGCGCAGGCGGUCCGCUAAGACAGAUGUGAAAUCCCCGGGCUUAACCUGGGAACUGCAUUUGUGACUGGCGGGCUAGAGUAUGGCAGAGGGGGGUAGAAUUCCACGUGUAGCAGUGAAAUGCGUAGAGAUGUGGAGGAAUACCGAUGGCGAAGGCAGCCCCCUGGGCCAAUACUGACGCUCAUGCACGAAAGCGU
Molecule: ribosomal RNA, 410 nt
Filed under: uncultured bacterium
Lineage: Bacteria
Description: partial 16S ribosomal RNA
Rfam family: Bacterial small subunit ribosomal RNA
Source: RNAcentral